This 682-nucleotide long non-coding RNA is filed under the name Sorghum bicolor (sorghum). RNAcentral's name for it is "long non-coding RNA (SBIC_LNC001825)". Lineage: Eukaryota; Viridiplantae; Streptophyta; Magnoliopsida; Poales; Poaceae. The record is from RNAcentral.
UCCAUGACCGUGACGAAGUAGGCGUGCAUGAGCCCGAACGCCAUCGCCGCCUCCAGCACCGCCGCUUGCCACCCGCUCACGCAGCCCGCCAGCGCGUACUCCGGCAGAUGCUGCGUGGACGAAACAUGUGUGUUUAGUUGUCGCGUUAGUCAGCUUGCACAAUGCAAGGCGACAGUUUUAUGUAGCUUAGCUGUUUCAGUUUAUCGACGGGAACGGGAUCGAGUACACACGUACCAUCCCUCCGGUGGCGAGCCUGAGGACGAGCGCGGCGGCGACGGCGCCGAGCAGCUGCGCGGCCCAGUAGACGAGGGAGCGGACGAGGCAGAUCCGGCCGGCGAGCAGCGCGCCGAAGGUGACGGCCGGGUUGACGUGACCGCCGGAGGUGUUGGCGGCGCACGCCACGGCGGCGGCGAGCGCGAGAGCGUGCGCGAGCGCCACCACCACCAGACCGCCCACGACGCCGCCGCCCUUGUCAUGGCGGUGCAUUCUCCCUGCGUAGCGUAUGUAAGUAGUAGGCACACGUGAGAGGUUAGUUGGUUACGACGUACGUACAGCAACGUGUAUACGCAGGGUAGGUACCGAGGGAGAGCGUGGCGCCCUCAGCGGCGAAGACGAAGAUGGCGGUGGCGAGGAGCUCGGCUGCGGCGCGGCGGAGCGUGGCAGGGUCCGUGGCCGUGGCCAU